UUUGGUCCAAAACAACUUGGCCAAACAGGCUAUUAGUAUGUUUGUUCCAAGUAAGCUAAGUCAAUGCCCUGGUGCAGGUAAAUGUCUUAUCCACCAGACAAAUUCGCAUGAUUGAUACACACCUAUGGAGUAGAAAAGGGUGUCAAUGCUUAUGAUUCUGUUCAUGUGGUUGAUUCGUUAUAUCGUUCUAAGUAUGUCUUGUCCACUGUGUCUGUUGCUCGACAAGAUUCUUUGGUCAUUCCUGCGGGAGUUUCUAAAGGGGCAGCACCAAGCAAAUAUGAAGCCGCUGAACUCCAUAAUCCCACUGAUCAAAAGCAACCUUCUGAACCUUUACUUGAAAGGCAAAGCACAAAUGGACAUGAUUCACUGGACUUCCAAACUGCAAAAUCUCAUUUCUGUAAGCCAAUAUUGUUUUGGAUUGAUGGUGAUGGCACUGUCAACAACAUUGUCUACAGAAAACUUGUGUCUCGUGCUCUGGGUAUCAUAAUGCAGAAUCCAGGAAUUCUAGAGGAUAAUGUUAUUGACCAGAUGCAUGGUCUGAAUCCUCAGGUAUAUAUCCAUUUGUAAACUUUCCAUGAACAAACUAUUCAUCAGUGCCCCAGUGUACGUUUCCGAUUGACUGAACAAACAGAAGUCACCCCGGGAAAAGAUCAUAAUGAUUUCAUAGUGUGACCUGAAUUUUCUAUUUAUCAUAUGAACUGAAUUACAUGGUUACAGUUCUGGUAAAAUAAUAUCCGAGGACCUUCUCGGCCUUGUCCUCCCAAAAAUGAAUGUAAUUUAUUGCUCUUGUUCAAAACUUAUCAGUCUUAACUGCAUCUUCUUGCUGCCAAGUAUUUGUUGCUAUAAAGAGAUUUGCAAUCUAAGUUUAA
This is a non-coding RNA of Nicotiana tabacum (common tobacco), 869 nucleotides long. Lineage: Eukaryota; Viridiplantae; Streptophyta; Magnoliopsida; Solanales; Solanaceae. The record is from RefSeq and is a predicted model, not a curated record.